RNAcentral lists this ribosomal RNA (112 nucleotides) under Synodus variegatus (variegated lizardfish). Its description in RNAcentral is "partial 16S rRNA". Lineage: Eukaryota; Metazoa; Chordata; Actinopteri; Aulopiformes; Synodontidae. The record is from RNAcentral.
GCUGUACAACUAGCUCAGCCAAAACUUUCACUAAAAAUUAUUAUUAUGGAAGAACAAAAAUUUAAAAACCUAAAUAAAACAUUUUUCCCCCUUAGUACGGGAGACGGAAAAG